RNAcentral lists this ribosomal RNA (375 nucleotides) under uncultured bacterium. RNAcentral's name for it is "bacterial SSU rRNA". It matches the Rfam family "Bacterial small subunit ribosomal RNA", at positions 524 to 898 of the family's 1533-position model. The record is from RNAcentral.
UACGGAGGGUGCAAACGUUGCUCGGAAUCAUUGGGCGUAAAGCGCGCGUAGGCGGUUGGACAAGUUGGAUGUGAAAGCCCUGGGCUCAACCCAGGAUGUGCAUUCAAAACUGUCCGACUUGAAUCUCGGAGGGGGUCAGAGAAUUCCCGGUGUAGAGGUGAAAUUCGUAGAUAUCGGGAGGAACACCAGUGGCGAAGGCGCUGACCUGGACGAUGAUUGACGCUGAGGCGCGAAAGCGUGGGGAGCAAACAGGAUUAGAUACCCUGGUAGUCCACGCCGUAAACGAUGAGUGCUAGACGCUGGCGGAUUGACCCCGUCGGUGUCGAAGCUAACGCGUUAAGCACUCCGCCUGGGGAGUACGGUCGCAAGACUAAA